This 350-nucleotide ribosomal RNA is filed under the name Halomonas sp. M10-C21. Its description in RNAcentral is "bacterial SSU rRNA". It matches the Rfam family "Bacterial small subunit ribosomal RNA", at positions 1 to 355 of the family's 1533-position model. Lineage: Bacteria; Pseudomonadati; Pseudomonadota; Gammaproteobacteria; Oceanospirillales; Halomonadaceae. The record is from RNAcentral.
UAGAGUUUGAUCAUGGCUCAGAUUGAACGCUGGCGGCAGGCCUAACACAUGCAAGUCGAGCGGAAACGAUGGAAGCUUGCUUCCAGGCGUCGAGCGGCGGACGGGUGAGUAACGCAUGGGAAUCUGCCCGAUAGUGGGGGAUAACCUGGGGAAACCCAGGCUAAUGCCGCAUACGUCCUACGGGAGAAAGCAGGGGAUCUUCGGACCUUGCGCUAUCGGAUGAGCCCAUGUCGGAUUAGCUUGUUGGUGAGGUAAUGGCUCACCAAGGCGACGAUCCGUAGCUGGUCUGAGAGGAUGAUCAGCCACAUCGGGACUGAGACACGGCCCGAACUCCUACGGGAGGCAGCAGU